UACGGAGGUUCCAAGCGUUGUUCGGAAUUACUGGGCGUAAAGGGAGCGCAGGCGGGCAAGUCAGUCUGAAGUGAAAUCCCGGGGCUCAACCUCGGACUUGCUUCGGAUACUGCUUGUCUUGAGUUCGUGAUAGGAAGACGGAAUUCAGGGUGUAGCGGUGAAAUGCACAGAUAUCCUGAGGAACACCGGUGGCGAAAGCGGUCUUCUGGCGCGAAACUGACGCUGAGGCUCGAAAGCGUGGGUAGCAAACGGGAUUAGAUACC
This 263-nucleotide ribosomal RNA is filed under the name uncultured bacterium. RNAcentral's name for it is "partial 16S ribosomal RNA". It matches the Rfam family "Bacterial small subunit ribosomal RNA", at positions 524 to 786 of the family's 1533-position model. The record is from RNAcentral.